UACUGUAUGCCAAAGCUUAUGCCGAG
This 26-nucleotide non-coding RNA is filed under the name Homo sapiens (human). Lineage: Eukaryota; Metazoa; Chordata; Mammalia; Primates; Hominidae. The record is from RNAcentral.